GACGAACGCUGGCGGCGUGCUUAACACAUGCAAGUCGAACGGAAAGGCCUGCAGCUUGCUGCGGGUCCUCGAGUGGCGAACGGGUGAGUAACACGUGGGUGAUCUGCCUUGCAUUUCGGGAUAAGCUUGGGAAACUGGGUCUAAUACCGGAUCGGACAGCUGUUUUGUGUCAGCUGUGGAAAGUUUUUUCGGUGCUAGAUGAGCUGGCGGCUUAUCAGCUUGCUGGUGGGGUAAUGGCCUACCCAGGCCUCGGAUGGUAGCCGGCCUGGGAGGGUGUACGGCCACAUUGGUACUAAGAUACGGCCCAGUCUCCUACAGGAGACAGCAGGCGGAAAUAUUGCACAAUGGGCGGGAGUCUGAGGCGACGACGCCGCGUUUGUGAUGAAGUCCUGCGGGUUAUAAACACCUUUCGGCAAAGACGAAGCUGUUGUGACGGUACCUGAAGAAGAAGCACCGGCUAACUACGUG
Molecule: ribosomal RNA, 468 nt
Filed under: uncultured bacterium
Lineage: Bacteria
Description: partial 16S ribosomal RNA
Rfam family: Bacterial small subunit ribosomal RNA
Source: RNAcentral